UCUGGCGGUAAAGGCGAGAAGGUCACACCCGUUCCCAUCCCGAACACGGAAGUUAAGCUUCUCAGCGCCGAUGGUAGUUGGGGUGCNAGGCAAUUUGGAGGAUUAGCUCAGCUGGGA
This 117-nucleotide ribosomal RNA is filed under the name Bacillus sp. FJAT-27225. The record is from RNAcentral. Lineage: Bacteria; Bacillati; Bacillota; Bacilli; Caryophanales; Bacillaceae.